This 71-nucleotide transfer RNA is filed under the name Candidatus Woesearchaeota archaeon. RNAcentral describes it as "tRNA-Gly". It matches the Rfam family "tRNA". From Rfam's summary of the family: Transfer RNA (tRNA) molecules are approximately 80 nucleotides in length. Their secondary structure includes four short double-helical elements and three loops (D, anti-codon, and T loops). Further hydrogen bonds mediate the characteristic L-shaped molecular structure. tRNAs have two regions of fundamental functional importance: the anti-codon, which is responsible for specific mRNA codon recognition, and the 3' end, to which the tRNAs corresponding amino acid is attached (by aminoacyl-tRNA synthetases). tRNAs cope with the degeneracy of the genetic code in two manners: having more than one tRNA (with a specific anti-codon) for a particular amino acid; and 'wobble' base-pairing, i.e. permitting non-standard base-pairing at the 3rd anti-codon position. Lineage: Archaea; Nanobdellati; Candidatus Woesearchaeota. The record is from RNAcentral.
GCAGUAAUAGUUAAAUGGUAUAAUACGAGCUUCCCAAGCUUGUGUUCCGGGUUCGAUUCCCGGUUACUGCA